Molecule: long non-coding RNA, 3386 nt
Organism: Labrus bergylta (ballan wrasse)
Lineage: Eukaryota; Metazoa; Chordata; Actinopteri; Labriformes; Labridae
Source: RefSeq, a predicted model, not a curated record
GUUUUCAUGGGGAGAAUAGAGAAUGGGUUUAAGCUGUGUUUACUGGAUUGUCCGAUAGUCUUGAACGCACCAUUGCUGAGGUGCGCUCAGAGCGGUGCUCUGUCGCUUUAAAUUACGUAAUACGACAGGUGAAGUGGCAGCUGACGGAGGACCCGUAUGGACGCUGACUUGGAAGCUGUCGGACUUAACAGAUGACCCACUACCAUGAACUUGUUUUAGAAACCAGCCGUAUCUUAUGUGAUCCAGCUACAACAAAUAAAACUGAACUCAAACACAAAGCUUGGGCUCGUCGCUCUAAAAGCCGUCCGGUGCGAUCAGGCCGCCGGUGCCCCAGCAGACCCGCGUAUAGAUACAAGCAGAAUGGAGCUCACUUUUCUCUAAGGACCCCAGCAGGUCUCCCUCCUUUCCUUCUCCUACUUUAGGGAACAGGAGCAUGAAGGUAGACACAGACAACCGGGCUAACUCACAACAGCUCCUGUGAUCAGCCUGACAACAGCCUUAGGGCCCACACAUGGGCACACACACAUACACACAGUCACAACAGAAAGACAUUUUAAAAAGGGACCAAAGAGGGGCCCAGGGCAGGAGCCCUGAGGCACUCCAACUUGGUGACACAGCAGCAGCAGUUCCCCUCCGUGCUACUGGUCGACGUAAGCACAACCUGGAAGCUGCUCCUCUCCUGUGUGCUGACUGAAACAAUGACUAGCCCCUCGCUCUCUAAUUUACAGGGAGUUGGCUCAUUCCUCUGAGUGGAAUGUACAGUGGGAGCAGCUUGCAUUUCAUGACAGGGUGGAGAGAUCCUUGAUGAGGUGGGGUGGUUUGAGUGGGGCUGGGUUGAGGGUGGGGUGAGUGAGUUUUUUUUAAAUGACAUGUCAUUUUAUGUUUGUUGUUUUAUGAUGUGCAGGGGUCAAGGAACAGAGCACAGUAUCUGAUUUGUACUGUACUUGUUAAACUGUAGGGAGGUACAACCGGCUGUGUGGAACUUUGAGCGACCAAACCUGAUGUACAAAUCUACAGUUCCAUCUAAUACAUAGAUACAUUUACUUUCAGAUAAUGAACUACGUGAACAAAGGACAUAUUAAAAAUGGAAACACUGACAUCCCUAUGAGAGCUGAUAGAAAUACCCAACAAACACCUGUGAUUGGGAGGACAUAAUCUGGAAGCUAUGGAGCCUUCCAUGUAGACAAAAAUGUAAGAAAACAACAUCACAAUCACUCAGAACCAUGUCACUUAACUACUUCAAUAGCCGGCAGAAUGCUGGCAGAAUGAUGCAGAAAGCCUUGUUUCAAUGAGCUGUUGCAAAGUCUGAAAAAAAGAAAAUGAUGUUUUCCUCUUUGAUCUGCUCCUCACUCACUCAUUCAGAGUUAGUAGAUAAAAUAGUCUUCUGAAUCUUCAACUUAAUCAACUGAGGAACUAAGGAUGAGGCUAUUUACUGCAGACAAAAUACAUCAGUGUGUAUGCAAGACAAGGACAGGUGGCACUAAAGAUACUGUACCUGUCUGAUUACUCUGAGUACCAAAUCAGAGCUCAAUGUGCUCAGCUCAGAGUGAUGUGGUUAAACGGGCUUGAGCUUGUAAAACACUUUUAACACGGCACCAGGUCACACCACAUACACACUGAUGACAGAGGUCACUAAUCCAAACAUACACAUUCACACACAGCAGCGGGAGAACUUUAUUGUUCUGUGUCUUGCCCGAGGAUACUUUGGGUGUGACCAGAAAAGCUAGGGAUCGAACCCCCAACCUUGAGAUACGACACACAGCCGCCUGUUUGUUCAUCCCUCUCUCUCUCUCUCUCUCUCUCUCUCUCUCUCUCUCUCUGCGUGUUUAGGUCAGCUAUAGGUCAAAGUCAAAUGGAUGAAGCACAAGUUUAACUUUACAUUUCUUUGUUGGGAUGAAAGUUAUUUAAUACAUUGGUAUGAUUAGGUGCUAUGAGCAGAACAAGAGUAACCUACCACCUUUUGAUUGAAGCUUCCCUAAUGAGGCCACAGCUCAUUUCACAGAAGACAUUAUUAUGAGUUAUGUCUGUCUUAAUGAGAGCUCUGACUUUACUCAUGGUCCAGGUCCUGAGAAUCAAAUAAUGUAGACGAAGGAGAAAAAAACACUUUACCAAUCAAUGACCAGACAAAUAAAUGACCAAGUAUCAAGAAGAAUGUGUCUGAGCCAAUAUGGAAGCAAAUAAAUGAGAAUGUUUUAGUAAACACUAAGUACUAAGUCUUUAUGGAAAAGACACAAAUAUGUUCAUGAAAUGUUCAGUGUUGUAUUAUUUUUAUUAGAUUAGACAAACAUGGAAUUAAAAUUAAAAAAAGGUGUGCUUGCUUUUGAACAUUACAGAAAAAACACCUUGUGUGGUGUAUUUGUCAGUUUUGUCAUUUAUUAUGGGCAGUUAUUUGAUCAUACAGAUAUAUGGAUGCUGAUGAGCAACUUCUGCUUUUUUAUCAUAAUUAUUAAAUAACGGGAUGCAUGAAAUUUGUUUGAAAGAGACGACUCAAAUGACGCAAAAAAAAAAAUAAAUCAGCUGAGAAGGAAAAUAACAAAUCUGGGUUAUUUUGGUUCAAAAGCUGCAGCAUGUGUUACACACUCCUUGUAAAUGUGUGUGUAUGUGUGUACUUACAUUUCUAAAUUUCACCUCUGUCUUGUUGUCUUUGUUGUGAUACAGAGGGCUGACUCCUUUUUGGAUGGAUGGAGAUACAGGGACGAAUAAUGACAGAUUGUAGUGGUAGUUGUUUUAAUCUUUUGAACUCCAUUACAUGAUUCUUUACCUGCUAAAAUGUUUAUCAUGCUGUGACAGUGAGUAUUAUUUAAAAAUAUGUUCUAAUGAAGCUGUAGCAUCAGUUCUGUCAGGAAGACUAUGUGAAGACCUUCAUGAUCGGGUCUAUCACUCAUUCAUCCAUUUUGUGCGCUCACUUUUCCGUUCUCAAGCUGUCAGUUUCUGGGGCUGUCAUUGGAUAAUCAGCUGUCUCUUCGGCAGUACUUAUCUAACCGAUGGCAUGGCGUUCCUCCCUCAUCUUCAACCUAUGUUUUGUGCGCCCCUCCACCUCCCCAUCACCGUCGUCUUUACAGAAUCAUCAUCCAUCAAUUAUUCCCCGAUCCGCUCUCAUCAAUUCAGCAGCUUCACCACCACCAGUGUCUGGACUCCAUGGGGGGAUUUAUUUUGUCGACACUCAGAAUUGUCAUUCUCCAAACACAUCAACUCCCUCUCAUAGAAUAGAAGUAUUUCAAGUCAAUUUAUAAAUAAUUUUCUUAAUUCACUUGCCUCUCCUGAUUGAACUAUGGUUUAGAAAAAUUGGAUGCAAAAUGAAGAGCGCUAGCGUUAGCAUGCUAGCACAACAAUGCAGCUUGAGUUUUUUUCGUUUCAUGCUGGUGCUCAAGGGCGACACAACAAUU